RNAcentral lists this long non-coding RNA (3042 nucleotides) under Marmota monax (woodchuck). Lineage: Eukaryota; Metazoa; Chordata; Mammalia; Rodentia; Sciuridae. The record is from RNAcentral.
UAUACUUUUAAAGUUUACACAGAUUAUAAAUAAUUUGACCAAAAAAUAUAAUUUUAUUCUGUUUGAUCCUCCCCACUACCUACCUUUUUUUGAGGGGUGUUGGGGGGGGGGGUUACCGGGUAUUGAACUCAGGGGCACUCAAUCACUGAGCCACAUCCCCAGCCCUAUAUUGUAUUGUAUUUAGAGACAGGGUCUCACUGAGUUGCUUAGUGCAUUGCUUUUGCUGAGGUUUGCUUUGAACUCAAGAUCCUCCUUCCUCAGCCUCGAGAGCCGCUGGGAUUACCACCAUGCCGGGCCUACUACCUGCUUUUUAAAUGAAAGAAUGAGAAGUAUUCUGUGUUCAGUGAGCAGAUGGUUAAAAGUAGAAAUUCAUUUGGAAGACUUUUUUGAAAUGUAUAUGAAAGGGGAAAAUUAUUUGUUGAUUUGGUAGAGGAUUUGCCACUUCUCAGUAAAUACAACCUUUUGAAUAGCAGUAAAAGACGUGUAAAUUUAGAGAUUUAGAAUAAAGGAACAGAUUUCACUUUUUGUAAAGCAUUCCUAAUGAGGAUGCCUUUCCCAUCUCUUGCCAAGACUACUUUUCUAUCAUAUACUUGUUUCUUGAUUGUCACAUGUCAUUCUUUAGUCAAUUUCCACCCAUCUUAGGCUCCUUUGUUUACUUAGGCUUUGAUCCUCUCCUAUAACUUGCUUUGUUGCAAUUCCCUUUCUUGAGGUUCUAGUUUAAUCAAGGCUAGAUGAGAGUAUAGAGCAAAUGGGCCUGGCCAGAGCCUGACAGUCUGCUGUUGCUAGGUGGCGUGAGGGGAGCCAACAGCAAGAUGAAAGCCCCUCCAGAGAAUCCAAGAGGCCUUCCUCUACUACAGUCUUGCUUCAAUCCACUGAACAUUUGGGUGUCUCUUCUGUGGGUGGUCAGAAGGAAAAGAGAUUGGCCAACCCUUAGGUUAGAGACAAAGGAGAUGUUUCUCUUGGAUUUGUCCCAUGGGCAGUUUACUAGCAUGGAGAACACAAUCUUCCCAAUACAGCUAGUUCACACAUACAACUUGGUGCCAUUACUGAAAUCACUGUUCAGCUGUGCAUAAAUCAUGCUGACCUAGAGUGCACUGAAUUUUGAAAGAACAAGGCUAAAUUUAUAAAAGCUGUUCCCUUUUGUCAGAGAAAAUCUAAUUUAUGUACCUGCAAGUUUAUAAUGCUCCAUAACCGUUGGCCCAUAUUUGUUUACCUUGGUAGCCAUAGAGAAAAGGAGGCUAAAACCUUAAAGAGAAGGGAAUUCUGUGGUGAGACAGUAUAGUGUACUGAUUAGGAACACAGACCUGCCUGCAUAAGCUUCUUUGUUUCCACCAGUUAUGACAGUGAUCUUGAGAAAGUUCCCACGCCUGUGAAACAGUAAUGAUAUUAGUGUGUGUGUGGUUCCUACAAAGCACCUGACACCAAGUACUCAAUAAAUGCAACUGCUAGUUUUACAAUUGCAAUAAGCUGUCUCUUGCAGGCUAGUAACAUUAUAGACCAAAAAAAGUUAACAAGUCAGCCUUGAAUGGGAAUUUUCACAUUUUUACCUUUUGGGAUCAAAACAUUCCUUUUACAGCAAAGUCUAUUUGAAAUCUUAAUGUUUGACUUUCAUGUUUUCCAUGAUGCCUGCUACUGCUGCUAGAGCUUGGAAGUGUCAUGGUGGGAUGAACGAACUCAACUCAGUCUUGGCACCAAUGAAUCCCCUUCCAGAGCGUAGCCUUCUCAGUGAAUAAUGGAAUAAACUGGACAAGUUGGAAGUCUAUGUUUGUUUUCUGUAAAUAUAGUCCUCCAACAGAGGAGGGUAAUGCUCAGCCCUGAGAGUGUGAAUGAGCCUGAGUUCUCUUAUCCUAAAACUUAACGCAAAUUUUGCAUUUUAUCAUGUCAGAUGUUGAUAAGAACAUAGAAAUCUUUUAAAUUACUUUCAAUUUCAGUUCCAAAAGCUGUUUAGUUUAUGUAUACCUCUGUGCAUCAGAGGCCUGAUUGGAGAAAUACUUUGUUUUAUUUGAUAAGAACCAGAAUGAACUCCAAUGAGAAUGUCAUGGAGUCCAAGCUCUGAUCAGAAGAAAGGUUUAGAAGCAAAUAAUGCUGGGGGCUAUCAUUAGAAAUAUGUUCAGUUCAUGGAGAAAGCAGUAAUCCCUGAUUGUUGGGGAGGCCCAGGAUGGAAAGUGGAAGGGUAUUAACUAGUAUUUCCUGAGAUGCUGGGAAUGAGCUCUGGGCCGAGUCUUGCCUGCUGAUUACCUGGGAAUGUGCCCUGCCCUAAAUUGCUUUCUCUUCUCCCUUAGGGAGAGGACUUGCUCCAGACUUCUAUAGAAAUCUGAUACUUGACCAGAAUAAGAUUGAAAAACCAAUGGAAUUGUUAAUAAAGUAUCUUAGAAGGCAGUGUUAACAUUCCAUUAUGGAAAUACUCUGGAAUAGUGUUCCUUUGGUUCUAAAGCCCUGGGUGUGUUGGAUUUGGGCACAGUGACGAGUUGUGGCAACUGGAAUUUUGAGAUUGUUUUUCCUAUAUCUUAGUCAAGAAAUUUUAAGUAUAGUUUCUCAAGAAGUAUUACGUUGAGGACUUGGGGGAAAAAUCUUAAAGCUGAUAAUUUCUUACAUAAAUAGUGAGGUUUACCUUUCAGUUUGUAAAAAUUACUUACCCUGUACCAAUUUAAUAGAGGUUAAAUUGAUAUGCAUGUUAGGAUGCAUCCCAUUGACUUCUUCAGUUUUUCCAAAUUGCUCUUUUACCAUAUGUUACUUUUUGCCUUUCAUAGAGCUUGAGAGGAGCAAAAAUUAUUUAUUUGCCAGAGAGUUUAAGAUAAAGAAAUGACAGUGAAUAGGACUAAUGAAAAGUGAGGAUUAUAUACCAGGAAUAAACAGGUAACCAUUGAUUUACAUUUUGUAUACUGACACAUUUCCUUGGUUGAGAAAGAGAUUAAGUAUAUUUGAAUGUGUGGUUUAAUAUGGUAAUAGCAAAGAGUAAUUAGUAGCAACAAGAAGAGGCUGCCCUUCCUUUUCUGGCUACACAGGGGCAAGUGGUUAUAGAUUAUGACCAUGAGUAUUAGC